Molecule: long non-coding RNA, 375 nt
Filed under: Phoenix dactylifera (date palm)
Lineage: Eukaryota; Viridiplantae; Streptophyta; Magnoliopsida; Arecales; Arecaceae
Description: long non-coding RNA (PDAC_LNC015801)
Source: RNAcentral
AACACUAAGUGUGCCAAUGAGUAGCUUUGUAACGCUAAACCUCCGAAUCAGGAACUGUUACAACCUCCAAGUGGUUUAUUUGAUGUAUCCCAAACUAUAGGUAGUUAAACACUAGAACCUACCCUUGAACUUCCUGGUUGCCAGGAUUUGUAAAGUUUAGGUGUCCUCAAACUUCCAAAAGCGGGUUGUUAACAAGCAGCAUAAACUGAUGUCGUGUUUAGGUGUUAAAAGGUUAUGAAAUCUCCUUUGAUAACGGAACGGAGGGCCCUAAACGGGCGACGUCUCCCUUAGGAGUUGAGUAAGAAAUCUUGAACCAAACGCGCCCUUGUCCAGUAACCAUUCCGAGUGGGGCCCAGUUACAAAGCAAAAGUUAGG